CACGUAGGGUGCGAGCGUUGUCCGGAAUUAUUGGGCGUAAAGAGUUCGUAGGCGGUUUGUCGCGUCGUCCGUGAAAACUUGGGGCUCAACCCCAAGCUUGCGGGCGAUACGGGCAGACUUGAGUACUGCAGGGGAGACUGGAAUUCCUGGUGUAGCGGUGAAAUGCGCAGAUAUCAGGAGGAACACCGGUGGCGAAGGCGGCUCACUGGACCGGCAUUGACGCUGAUGUGCGAAAGCGUGGGGAGCAAACAGG
Molecule: ribosomal RNA, 253 nt
Filed under: uncultured bacterium
Lineage: Bacteria
Description: partial 16S ribosomal RNA
Rfam family: Bacterial small subunit ribosomal RNA
Source: RNAcentral